This 1009-nucleotide long non-coding RNA is filed under the name Vulpes vulpes (red fox). RNAcentral's name for it is "lncRNA (ENSVVUG00000018717.1)". The record is from RNAcentral. Lineage: Eukaryota; Metazoa; Chordata; Mammalia; Carnivora; Canidae.
GAGGCCACCCCAGACAUUUCCAGAGGACCAGAUGGUUCAUUCAAUAAAACGGGGGCCUCUACUAGGGGUCCAGUCCUAUUUCUUAGCUGCCCAUUUCCAACUUUCUCACUUGUGCACUUCUAGGAAGCCAGUGAGAAACCGUCUAUGGCCAUGUUAAGGGAGAAGGAGAAUGUAUUUCUGGUUUUGCCAUUGUUCUCACAGGUAUUUAAAAAACCCUAGGCCUGAUGCCCCUGUCAGAAAGCACACACUCCGACAUCUCUCACAAGUGCUGCGGGGAGGAGGUGUGAUGCCCAACAACAACCCCACAGGAGACGUGAUCCUCUGGAAGCUUCCAGACACUGUGCUCUUCACUGGGCUCAGGUGCUGAGUGUCAAGCAGAUACACUUGGCAGGUCAUUCGGAACCAUGUUAGGUUAUUCAGAGGAACAAAAGCACAACAAACUGCCUGGAACCCUUGAUGUCUGGGAGAAGCUCACUGUCUGCACCAGCUAGCAGCUGUCCUGCCACAUUCUUGUCUGCCUGAAAGAAAAGAAAGGAAGAAUGCAUGACUCCAAACGAAUGGCCUAGAAUUGGAGGCUGCUUGGCAGUAUAAGAAACGCAGAGAAAAAGAGGACUAAGAUGCACAGGGGAUUGAGGGGGAUUACACGCAGCUUCCACGAAAUGUCUUGUGCUCCUCUCUGGGAAAGGAACUGUAAAUGUCAAGUCUCCCUGACAUCAGUCUCCCUGACAACAACUUACACAGGUAAUAUACAUUAUUUGAAGAAACCAAUUGUAAUGCAAUUCAACACAGUACCACUGAUCAAAUUACUCCUUCCAAAGACAGCAGCUGGGAAUAUUUACUAUGGAAAUAUCUGUCUUUAGAAUGAUUUCUAAAAUCAAAUUGCUGUAAACAUAACCAAGAAUUAUGAAGACUGUGUCUGUCAGGAACACCUCUUGAGGUAGGAAAAGACAGUUUUCCAAAUAAGAGAAUCUUAGGCCUUUUUUCACGCUAAACUAUACUUUAAUUGUGU